Molecule: unclassified non-coding RNA, 863 nt
Filed under: Hevea brasiliensis (rubber tree)
Lineage: Eukaryota; Viridiplantae; Streptophyta; Magnoliopsida; Malpighiales; Euphorbiaceae
Source: RNAcentral
CAUUUCUAUUCUGCGGCUCAGACAAACCUGCUGUUAAGUUUACCCAGCUGACAAAUGAAGGAGGACAUGAAGCUAUACCUAUACUAGAGAAAGGGAUUAGCAUCUUUGGUGAAGUGAUAGCUCGGAGGUACAUAAUCUGCUCUUGAAUCUUGAUGCUUUUCUCCAUUUUCUUGAACGAUUUUUUUAUCUUUAUUUCUUUACUGUUUUCAAAAUGAUUCCACCUGAGCAGCAGGAAAUAGACUCUUGUUUGGUUACGAUCAAACAGAAUUAAGUUUUUCUUUUUUGUUUUUCAUUAAAUUUUAAGCAAAGGGAAAAGGAAAAAAAGAUGCCUCAAGUCACCUGAUGUAACUUGGCAUUAGACAGCACAGAAAACCGAUCCAAGCUCAUUGUCAUAGAGACAUCAAACUGUCCAAAUUUCUGAGAAGAUAGUGGUCCUUAUCUGGCCAUUUAUUUGGUGAUCUAGUCUCUAAUAGUAGCAUUAGGUGCAGGCAGGAGGAUGAUUCCAUCCAUUGGAUGAAAGAAAAGGCUGAGUUGACAAAUAAGGGAUGGGACGGAGAUGGGGUUUUAGGAUUGAAAAUUGGGGGGUUGUCGAUGGGACCAUUAAUGCAACCAAAUUAUCACAUGUUGUUUGAUAGCUUGUUUGAUUCUUUGCAUACGGCUUGUGGAUAUUACGGAUCAUUACUUUUCCAUAAACUCUCUUCCAUCAUCACCGACAAAAGGAAUCCUUAUUAUGUUUCUCCUUAGGUUAGCUUUGAUCUUUGUAUCAUACUUUACACUCUGUUUGGAUAUGGAAAAGGGGAGGAAAGAAAAUAAAAAAGAAAAAAUAAAUUAGGAUUAGUAUUUUUUUUUAUUUGGAAAUAAAA